AUUAUGGAGAGUUUGAUCCUAGCUCAGGAUGAACGCUGGCGGCAUGCCUAACACAUGCAAGUUGAACGAGCUUAUAUUUUUAUAAAUUUAAGUUAAGUAGCGGACGGGUGAGUAACAUGUAAGAACCUACCUUUAGGAGGGGAAUAACUACUGGAAACGGUAGCUAAAACCCCAUAAGCUGCGGAGUAAAAAGUGAAAACUACCUAAAGAUGGGCUUGCAUCUGAUUAGCUUGUUGGUAAAUUAAUUGUUUACCAAGGCGAUGAUCAGUAGUUGGUCUAAGAGGAUGAUCAACCACACUGGGACUGAGACACGGCCCAGACCUCUACGGAGGGCAGCAG
This 339-nucleotide ribosomal RNA is filed under the name Ostreobium sp. HV05007bc. Its description in RNAcentral is "SSU rRNA". It matches the Rfam family "Bacterial small subunit ribosomal RNA", at positions 1 to 354 of the family's 1533-position model. The record is from RNAcentral. Lineage: Eukaryota; Viridiplantae; Chlorophyta; Ulvophyceae; Bryopsidales; Ostreobiaceae.